GCCGGGCAUGGUGGCUCAAGCCUGUAAUCCCAGCACUUUGGGAGGCUGAGGCGGGUGGAUCACCUGAGGUCAGGAGUUCGAGACCAGCCUGGCCAACAUGGUGAAACCCCGUCUCUA
Molecule: non-coding RNA, 117 nt
Filed under: Chlorocebus sabaeus (green monkey)
Lineage: Eukaryota; Metazoa; Chordata; Mammalia; Primates; Cercopithecidae
Source: Rfam by way of RNAcentral